UGUUCCUACGGGGCGCAGCAGUGGGGGACAUUGCACAAUGGGGGAAACCCUGAUGCAGCGACGCCGCGUGGGCGAAGAAGUAUUUCGGUAUGUAAAGCCCUAUCGGCAGGGAAGAAAUUGGACGGUACCUGACUAAGAAGCCCCGGCUAACUACGUGCCAGCAGCCGCGGUAAUACGUAGGAGGCAAGCGUUAUCCGGAUUCACUGGGUGUAAAGGGAGCGUAGACGGCCAUGCAAGCCUGGAGUGAAAGACCG
Molecule: ribosomal RNA, 254 nt
Filed under: uncultured bacterium
Lineage: Bacteria
Description: partial 16S ribosomal RNA
Rfam family: Bacterial small subunit ribosomal RNA
Source: RNAcentral